UGGCCAGACUCCUACGGGAGGCAGCAGUGAGGAAUAUUGGUCAAUGGUCGGGAGACUGAACCAGCCAAGCCGCGUGAGGGAUGAAGGUACAGAGUAUCGUAAACCUCUUUUGUCAGGGAACAAAGGCGAGGACGCGUCCCCGGAUGAGUGUACCUGAAGAAAAAGCAUCGGCUAACUCCGUGCCAGCAGCCGCGGUAAUACGGAGGAUGCGAGCGUUAUCCGGAUUUAUUGGGUUUAAAGGGUGCGUAGGCGGAUUGAUAAGUUAGAGGUGAAAUGUCCGGGCUCAACUCGGGAACUGCCUCUAAUACUGUUGAUCUAGAGAGUAGAUGCGGUAGGCGGAAUGUAUGGUGUAGCGGUGAAAUGCUUAGAGAUCAUACAGAACACCGAUUGCGAAGGCAGCUUACCAAUCUAUAUCUGACGUGAGGCACGAAAGCGUGGGGAGCAAACAGGAUUAGAUACCCGCGUAG
Molecule: ribosomal RNA, 467 nt
Filed under: uncultured bacterium
Lineage: Bacteria
Description: bacterial SSU rRNA
Rfam family: Bacterial small subunit ribosomal RNA
Source: RNAcentral